Molecule: ribosomal RNA, 495 nt
Filed under: uncultured bacterium
Lineage: Bacteria
Description: bacterial SSU rRNA
Rfam family: Bacterial small subunit ribosomal RNA
Source: RNAcentral
CGGCCCAAACUCCUACGGGAGGCAGCAGUGGGGAAUAUUGCACAAUGGGGGAAACCCUGAUGCAGCGACGCCGCGUGAAGGACGAAGGUUUUCGGAUCGUAAACUUCUAUCAGCAGGGAGGAAGAAAUGACAGUACCUGAAUAAGCAGCCCCGGCUAACUACGUGCCAGCAGCCGCGGUAAUACGUAGGGGGCAAGCGUUAUCCGGAAUCACUGGGUGUAAAGGGUGCGUAGGCGGUAAUGCAAGUCAGAUGUGAAACCCCUUGGCUCAACCAAGGGCUUGCAUUUGAAACUGUGUUACUAGAGUGCAGGAGAGGAAAGCGGAAUUCCUAGUGUAGCGGUGAAAUGCGUAGAUAUUAGGAAGAACACCAGUGGCGAAGGCGGCUUUCUGGACUGUAACAGACGCUGAGGCACGAAAGCGUGGGUAGCGAACAGGAUUAGAUACCCUGGUAGUCCACGCCGUAAACGAUGAGUGCUAGGUGUUGGGGUCGAUAGAU